This 806-nucleotide ribosomal RNA is filed under the name uncultured bacterium. Its description in RNAcentral is "bacterial SSU rRNA". It matches the Rfam family "Bacterial small subunit ribosomal RNA", at positions 1 to 805 of the family's 1533-position model. The record is from RNAcentral.
UUAGAGUUUCCUUUUGGCUCAGGAUGAACGCUAGCGGCAGGCUUAACACAUGCAAGUCGAGGGGCAGCGCGGGAUAGCAAUAUCCUGGCGGCGACCGGCGGAAGGGUGCGUAACGCGUGAGCGACAUGCCCGUUGCCCGGGGACAACCGGUGGAAACGCCGACUAAUCCCCGAUGGGAUACGAUGCUUCAUGGCAUUGUAUUGAAAGUUACGGCGGCGACGGAUUGGCUCGCGUCCGAUUAGCUUGUUGGCGGGGUAACGGCCCACCAAGGCUACGAUCGGUAGGGGUUCUGAGAGGAAGGCCCCCCACAAUGGGACUGAGACACGGCCCAUACUCCUACGGGAGGCAGCAGUGAGGAAUAUUGGUCAAUGGGCGGAAGCCUGAACCAGCCAUGCCGCGUGCGGGAAGGAGGCCCUAUGGGCUGUGAACCGCUUUUGCCUGGGGGCAAUAAGGGCGUCGCGCACGUCCGAUGAGAGUACCAGGCGAAUAAGCAUCGGCUAACUCCGUGCCAGCAGCCGCGGUAAUACGGGGGAUGCGAGCGUUAUCCGGAUUCAUUGGGUUUAAAGGGUGCGUAGGCUGUGCGUCAAGUCGGGGGUGAAAUUCCGGUGCUCAACACCGGGGCUGCCCUUGAUACUGUCGCGCUGGAGUGCGGAUGCCGCCGGAGGAAUGAGUGGUGUAGCGGUGAAAUGCUUAGAUAUCACUAAGAACACCGAUUGCGAAGGCAUCUGGCGAAUCCGUAACUGACGCUGAGGCACGAAAGCGUGGGGAUCCACAAGGAUUAGAUACCCUGGUAUUCCACGCCGUAA